AUUGAACGCUGGCGGCAGGCCUAACACAUGCAAGUCGAACGAGUGGCGGACGGGUGAUUCAUGUCUGGGAAACUGCCCGAUGGAGUGGGAUAACUACUGGAAACGGUAGCUAAUACCGCAUACCAUCGGAUGUGCCCAGAUGGGAUUAGCUUGUAGGUGAGGUAACGGCUCACCUAGGCGACGAUCCCUAGCUGGUCUGAGAGGAUGACCAGCCACACUGUAACUGAGAAACGGCCCAGAAGCCGACGGGAGGCAGCAGGGGGGAAUAUUGCACAAGGGGCGCAAGCCUGAUGCAGCCAUGCCGCGUGUAUGAAGAAGGCCUUCGGGUUGUAAAGUACUUUCAGCGGGGAGGCGUUACCCGCAGAAGAAGCACCGGCUAACUCCGUGCCAGUAGCCGCGGUAAUUC
Molecule: ribosomal RNA, 406 nt
Filed under: uncultured bacterium
Lineage: Bacteria
Description: partial 16S ribosomal RNA
Rfam family: Bacterial small subunit ribosomal RNA
Source: RNAcentral